RNAcentral lists this ribosomal RNA (758 nucleotides) under uncultured bacterium. Its description in RNAcentral is "bacterial SSU rRNA". It matches the Rfam family "Bacterial small subunit ribosomal RNA", at positions 8 to 794 of the family's 1533-position model. The record is from RNAcentral.
AGAGUUUGAUCAUGGCUCAGGAUGAACGCUGGCGGCGUGCCUAACACAUGCAAGUCGAGCGAUUUACUUCGGUAAAGAGCGGCGGACGGGUGAGUAACGCGUGGGUAACCUGCCCUGUACACACGGAUAACAUACCGAAAGGUAUGCUAAUACGAGAUAAUAUACUUUUAUCGCAUGGUAGAAGUAUCAAAGCUCUGGCGGUACAGGAUGGACCCGCGUCUGAUUAGCUAGUUGGUAAGGUAACGGCUUACCAAGGCGACGAUCAGUAGCCGACCUGAGAGGGUGAUCGGCCACAUUGGAACUGAGACACGGUCCAAACUCCUACGGGAGGCAGCAGUGGGGAAUAUUGCACAAUGGGCGAAAGCCUGAUGCAGCAACGCCGCGUGAGCGAUGAAGGCCUUCGGGUCGUAAAGCUCUGUCCUCAAGGAAGAUAAUGACGGUACUUGAGGAGGAAGCCCCGGCUAACUACGUGCCAGCAGCCGCGGUAAUACGUAGGGGGCUAGCGUUAUCCGGAAUUACUGGGCGUAAAGGGUGCGUAGGUGGUUUCUUAAGUCAGAGGUGAAAGGCUACGGCUCAACCGUAGUAAGCCUUUGAAACUGGGAAACUUGAGUGCAGGAGAGGAGAGUGGAAUUCCUAGUGUAGCGGUGAAAUGCGUAGAUAUUAGGAGGAACACCAGUUGCGAAGGCGGCUCUCUGGACUGCAACUGACACUGAGGCACGAAAGCGUGGGGAGCAAACAGGAUUAGAUACCCUGGUAGU